Molecule: ribosomal RNA, 640 nt
Filed under: Trametes cinnabarina
Lineage: Eukaryota; Fungi; Basidiomycota; Agaricomycetes; Polyporales; Polyporaceae
Description: eukaryotic LSU rRNA
Rfam family: Eukaryotic large subunit ribosomal RNA
Source: RNAcentral
CAUAUCAAAAGCGGAGGAAAAGAAACUAACAAGGAUUCCCCUAGUAACUGCGAGUGAAGCGGGAAAAGCUCAAAUUUAAAAUCUGGCGGUCUUUGGCCGUCCGAGUUGUAGUCUGGAGAAGUGCUUUCCGCGCUGGACCGUGUAUAAGUCUCUUGGAACAGAGCGUCAUAGAGGGUGAGAAUCCCGUCUUUGACACGGACUACCAGUGCUUUGUGAUGCGCUCUCAAAGAGUCGCGUUGUUUGGGAAUGCAGCGCAAAAUGGGUGGUGAAUUCCAUCUAAAGCUAAAUAUUGGCGAGAGACCGAUAGCGAACAAGUACCGUGAGGGAAAGAUGAAAAGCACUUUGGAAAGAGAGUUAAACAGUACGUGAAAUUGCUGAAAGGGAAACGCUUGAAGUCAGUCGCGUUGUCCGGGACUCAGCCUUGCUUCGGCUUGGUGCACUUUCCGGAUGACGGGCCAGCAUCGAUUUUGACCGCUGGAAAAGGGCUGGAGGAAUGUGGCACCUUCGGGUGUGUUAUAGCCUCCAGUCGCAUACGGCGGUUGGGAUCGAGGAACGCAGCACGCCUUACGGCGGGGGUUCGCCCACCUUCGUGCUUAGGAUGCUGGCAUAAUGGCUUUAAACGACCCGUCUUGAAACACGG